ACUGAGUGUCUGACACAUGUACAGAGCCCACAAGCUGCCAUGAGCUAUUUCUACAUGUAACUAGGUGACUACGCCUUGCAGCUUCCCCUACGUUAUAGGCUUUUUAACUUCAUUAUGUGAUCAGGCAUGUUGCCAACUUUGAAGGCCAUUCCACACAUCUGAGUGAUCUGGCUUGCCGUCCAGGUGAUUUAAGUGCCAAUCUUGAUAAAGGUCCGCAUAAGGACCGAAACGUCGAUGAAAUACGGCAUCAACAGUGAACCCGAAUAAAAAUAUACUGAAUUUACAAGUGACUUCAGAGACUAAUUUCUGGGCGUGAGUGCACCUUCCACCUAGGUGGUUGUUGUGGUAUAUUGGUGGCCUCUCUGGUCAUUAGGAGCACCCGCCGUCGUUAUUACUUUUGAUGAGAGUGCAGGAUCUUCC
Long non-coding RNA from Pseudophryne corroboree (corroboree frog), 420 nucleotides. RefSeq lists it as uncharacterized. Lineage: Eukaryota; Metazoa; Chordata; Amphibia; Anura; Myobatrachidae. The transcript is spliced from 3 exons. The record is from RefSeq and is a predicted model, not a curated record.